RNAcentral lists this unclassified non-coding RNA (652 nucleotides) under Hevea brasiliensis (rubber tree). The record is from RNAcentral. Lineage: Eukaryota; Viridiplantae; Streptophyta; Magnoliopsida; Malpighiales; Euphorbiaceae.
GAAAGGAUGUCCUUUAUUUUUAUUUUUUUUUUUAACUGUGGUUGUGGGGAUUCCAUGACAAGAUGGGAAGUUCACAUGAACAGUAAAUUGACUCUUUUGUCCGUGUAUGCCCUCCGGUUCACAAGCUUUUAAACCCCAUGAUGGUUAGUGGCUUGUGAAAUGGGUGGGCAUCAUUACCUGUUAGGUGCAUGUACUGGUUGGCAAAAAUUAUUUUGCUAAAAGCGUGCCUCGUGUCCCUUGCCCUUACUGUGCAAAGGAAGUAAAUGAGUUCAGUGACAUUAAAAGCCAAAGAACUACACUUACAGGAAAAGAGCAUAUAUUAACCACAGAAGCACAUCUCCUUAGCAACUCUAAUUUUCAGUGUAGGAUGUUGAUGGGUCAACUAGGGUCUGAACUGUUCCGCUGUAACCUAUUAGGUAUUAUUGGGCUGAUGAGAGAAGGCUCAAAAGUUUUGUCUUAAUUUAGAUUUCGCAUGUUUUUUUCAUACAUUAUCAGAUGCCAUUUAUGCCAUCUAAACCAAACAGCUAUGAUAGCUAAAUAUGGAGAUGUAUUUUCUGAAAAUCUCAAUAUACUCUCCUAUACCACAGCUUUUCUUACUAACUUGAGCUGAAGUCAGAUAGCCUCUCCUCUGCUCAUCACUUCUGUUUGAUUU